UUGUUGCUGCCUUAGGUUGAUGCACUUGGAUUCAAGUCUAAGAUGCAGUUAAGGCAGAAGUAAAAAUGGCCUAAGUAACUUGUAUUGAAUCUGUUUAGAUCUUGCAUAUACUUAGAUAAAUUGCUUGCAAAGAUUAGAACUUGAAUAUGUCUUGUGUAAUCUGUUGCAAUGCUUGUGAUAUUGGUGAUCAACCUUGAUGAUAUUUCAAGGAUUGAUUCCAAUACCUUUGUGUCUUAUCUUUGCUGGAGUUUGAGUGGUGUUUCAGGUUCACAAGAAGUGUUCUUUGCUCACCAUCCACCCAAGUAGAAGAGGAAGACUUUGCCAUUGUUAAAGCAAUGGAGAAAG
This 345-nucleotide long non-coding RNA is filed under the name Brassica napus (rape). RNAcentral describes it as "long non-coding RNA (BNAP_LNC002641)". Lineage: Eukaryota; Viridiplantae; Streptophyta; Magnoliopsida; Brassicales; Brassicaceae. The record is from RNAcentral.